Molecule: ribosomal RNA, 490 nt
Filed under: uncultured Rathayibacter sp.
Lineage: Bacteria; Bacillati; Actinomycetota; Actinomycetes; Micrococcales; Microbacteriaceae
Description: bacterial SSU rRNA
Rfam family: Bacterial small subunit ribosomal RNA
Source: RNAcentral
AGAGUUUGAUCCUGGCUCAGGACGAACGCUGGCGGCGUGCUUAACACAUGCAAGUCGAACGAUGAAGCCCAGCUUGCUGGGUGGAUUAGUGGCGAACGGGUGAGUAACACGUGAGUAACCUGCCCUUGACUCUGGGAUAAGCGCUGGAAACGGCGUCUAAUACCGGAUACGACCUGCCCCGGCAUCGGGUGCGGGUGGAAAGUUUUUCGGUCAAGGAUGGACUCGCGGCCUAUCAGCUUGUUGGUGAGGUAAUGGCUCACCAAGGCGACGACGGGUAGCCGGCCUGAGAGGGUGACCGGCCACACUGGGACUGAGACACGGCCCAGACUCCUACGGGAGGCAGCAGUGGGGAAUAUUGCACAAUGGGCGAAAGCCUGAUGCAGCAACGCCGCGUGGGGGAUGACGGCCUUCGGGUUGUAAACCUCUUUUAGUAGGGAAGAAGGACUUCGGUUUGACGGUACCUGCAGAAAAAGCACCGGCUAACUACGUG